This 276-nucleotide ribosomal RNA is filed under the name uncultured prokaryote. Its description in RNAcentral is "partial 16S ribosomal RNA". It matches the Rfam family "Bacterial small subunit ribosomal RNA", at positions 524 to 800 of the family's 1533-position model. The record is from RNAcentral.
UACGUAGGGGGCUAGCGUUAUCCGGAAUUACUGGGCGUAAAGGGUGCGUAGGUGGUUUCUUAAGUCAGAGGUGAAAGGCUACGGCUCAACCGUAGUAAGCCUUUGAAACUGGGAAACUUGAGUGCAGGAGAGGAGAGUGGAAUUCCUAGUGUAGCGGUGAAAUGCGUAGAUAUUAGGAGGAACACCAGUUGCGAAGGCGGCUCUCUGGACUGUAACUGACACUGAGGCACGAAAGCGUGGGGAGCAAACAGGAUUAGAUACCAUGGUAGUCCCUGA